RNAcentral lists this long non-coding RNA (511 nucleotides) under Homo sapiens (human). Its description in RNAcentral is "HSALNT0364275". Lineage: Eukaryota; Metazoa; Chordata; Mammalia; Primates; Hominidae. The record is from RNAcentral.
GAUUUAGAAGCAGUGGCGUCCCUCUUGCGGCAACAUUUAGCAGCAUGUGGUUGGGCCGUCAACGAAUCCAAGGUCCAAGGUCCUGGAUUAUCUGCCAGAUUCUUGGGAGUUAUCUGGUCAGGCUCCAGUUAGUAGUUGCUGCCUAGGAGAUGAAGUGAAUUUCACAAGAAAGACAUAAGAAGCCAACAACUGGACAAGCUGUGAAAUGCCUAGAUUCCAGAGCAACAGACUGUGAUCCAUUCCCAACAACCCCUCCCUACCGUCUGCCACCAGUUCCCUUAAAGCAGGAAUCAGAGCUAGACUGACUCAACUAAGAAUUGUUUUGGAGAACUUGGAACUCAACAUUCCAUAAAGCAAGAAGCUUGACAUAGCAUCGAUGAGCCCAAGUCAACUAUAUGAACAAAACAAUGUCUCAGGAGGGGCAGGGUAUCACGUCAGAAGAAUCCUGAGUCCUUAGAUGACCUUGUAGAAAAGAGCCACAAACUUACUCUGGGCUACCUUCAUACCUCUG